GACGAACGCUGGCGGCGUGCCUAAUACAUGCAAGUCGAACGCAGUGGGGACGGGUGAGUAACACGUGGGUAACCUCCCAUCAGAGGGGAUAACACUUGGAAACAGGUGCUAAACCGAUACUGAUGGAUGGACCCGCGGUGCAUUAGCUAGUUGGUGAGGUAACGGCUCACCAAGGCCACGAUGCAGAGCCGACCUGGUAGGGUGUGCGGCCACACUGGGACUGGGCCACGGCCCAGACUCCUACGGGAGGCAGCAGUAGGGAAUCUGCGGCGAUGGAGGAGAGUCUGACCGAGCAACGCCGGGUGCGGGAAGAAGGUUUUCGGAUCGUAAAACUCUGUUGUUAGAGAAGCGGUAUCUAACCAGAAAGCCACGGCUAACGACGUGCCGGCAGCCGCGGUAAUAC
Molecule: ribosomal RNA, 403 nt
Filed under: uncultured bacterium
Lineage: Bacteria
Description: partial 16S ribosomal RNA
Rfam family: Bacterial small subunit ribosomal RNA
Source: RNAcentral